CAUUAACUGUAGUAUCGAAACCAAAGGCUGAACUGAGACACAAUAACACAACUGUUCCAGUAGGGGGCAGUGUGACCCUGACCUGCUCUGUGAGCCCAUCAUCAUCAUCAUCAUCAUCAUCAUCAUCAUCAUCUGGAUGGAAAUACUACUGGUACAGAGAUGGGAAAUCUUAUGAAGCUUUGACAAAUGGACAAAUCAGUGUCUCAGAGGGAGGACUCUACAGCUGCAGAGGAGGAAGAGGAGAACCAGUUUACUACACAGAGGACAGUGAGUCAGUCAGGAUUGACACAACUGAUAAACCCCGUCCUGUCCUCACUGUGUCUCCAUCAUGGCUGAGUCCUGGAGCCUCAGUA
This is a long non-coding RNA of Oreochromis niloticus (Nile tilapia), 353 nucleotides long. RefSeq lists it as uncharacterized. The record is from RefSeq and is a predicted model, not a curated record. The transcript is spliced from 3 exons. Lineage: Eukaryota; Metazoa; Chordata; Actinopteri; Cichliformes; Cichlidae.